Arachis ipaensis is the source of this 976-nucleotide long non-coding RNA. RefSeq lists it as uncharacterized. Lineage: Eukaryota; Viridiplantae; Streptophyta; Magnoliopsida; Fabales; Fabaceae. The record is from RefSeq and is a predicted model, not a curated record.
AUACUGGCGCUUAAGCUGGCAAUAUCGGCUUUAAUCUGUCCAGUACCACAUAUUUUGGAAAAUAAUAUUUUAAAGAUUGAUUUAUUAUUUUAAAAGGACAAAAAUAUUUUAGAAUUGAAAACCGGACACUAAUUUUAAAGGUUUUGGCCAAAAGUGGGCCAAACAGGCUAAAAACGCUAACGGGUUGGACCGAACCCAAGACCCAACAUAUAUAAGCUCAUUUCUUUUCCCCAAAUGAGAGAGAGCCGCGGUUUUGAGAUGAGAGGAGAAGAGGGGAGUGGUUACUAUUCAUCUCUACCUUUUGGGAGCCAUAACUUGAGUUACGGAACUCCGAUUGACGAGCCGUUUGCGGCUACGCGAAGCUCUCGUCGAGAUCUACAUUUCUAUCCAAGAAAACCUGGUGAUUUCUAGUAGCGGGUAAUUAUUGGAUGUUACCCAUACUCUUGUUGGAUAAGCUUGUUUUUGGAGUUGGUGGUGGCUUUUGGUUUGGCUUUGAUGGUUUGGAGCUUGGUAAAAGCUUGAUUGGAAUCAAGUUUGGUGUCGGAGCAUAGUGGGAAUCGGCCAAGGUCAAUUAGGCAAGAAUGAAUAGCCAAAAGUGGAAGAAAGCAUGUACAAGAGAGAAAACAUGAAGAAAACAAGGAAAAACACACAGAGCAAGGUGGGCGUGCGCACAAGCAAGCGUGCGUACGCACAAGACCGAUUCAGCCAAGUGUGUGUGCGCAUAGACCAGCGUGCGUACACACAAGAGGAAAUUUGCAUGUGUGCGUGCGCACAAGUACCUGUGCGUACGCAUAGGACCCUGCACGUGAUUUCAUUAAUGAAACGCGUGCUAUGUGUUUUAUGAGGCCUUUUGGCCCAAUUUUUGAAAGCUCAAGACUGAAAUGAAGUGCUAUAUGAAGGGGGAUUGAAGACAUAUGAAGGCAUUAGAGUAGAAGGCCACAUUUUUCAUUUUCUUAGCAUAGUAAUUAGGAUUAGG